RNAcentral lists this long non-coding RNA (622 nucleotides) under Sarcophilus harrisii (Tasmanian devil). RNAcentral describes it as "lncRNA (ENSSHAG00000028605.1)". The record is from RNAcentral. Lineage: Eukaryota; Metazoa; Chordata; Mammalia; Dasyuromorphia; Dasyuridae.
AACAGAUGCUGCUGAUGAAGAAGAUGCUCUAUCAAGCUGGGUGCUCUGUCGCUUUCCUCUGGCUUAGCCCCUCCAGCCUGAUCUCAGAUUUACCUCUCCCUAGUGUCUUUGAACUGAGUCUUAAUACUGGUUUCAACUAUACUUCUACCUUUUGCCCUUUUAGAUGAUACAUUCCUAGUGCUUUCAGCUUCUAUCUAUAUUUGAGGAAAGGUAAAUAUACCCAGAGGUACUCAUUUAUUUUGUAAAAACAAAACAAAACAAAAACAUCUAUAGUACUGGUGGCAAUAUUUUACAUUUGAAUUUUAAAGCAAUCUUGCAAGCACUCCAAAAGAAGAAGGAAAAGAAGAAAGAGGAGGAGGAGGAGGAGAAAGAGGAGGAAGAGAAAAAGAAGGAGGAAGAGGAUUUCUGAAGAUAACUGCCUGGAGAAGAUGGAGAAGAGAAGAACAUUUAUUAACAUCUAAUCCUGUUAAGAUUUUCUACACCAUAUGCCUGAGGAAGAGAACAUGUGAAAUGUGUACUAAUUACUCCUGGUUUGUCAUGUGUGUACAUUUUCAAUGCAGUCCCUGACCUUUUUGUUAAUAACUUCACAUUAUAUUCAUUGACCUGAAACAAAUUGAAUUCA